This 838-nucleotide ribosomal RNA is filed under the name Aleochara obscurella. Its description in RNAcentral is "SSU rRNA". It matches the Rfam family "Eukaryotic small subunit ribosomal RNA", at positions 455 to 1218 of the family's 1831-position model. Lineage: Eukaryota; Metazoa; Arthropoda; Insecta; Coleoptera; Staphylinidae. The record is from RNAcentral.
CACGGGGAGGUAGUGACGAAAAAUAACGAUACGGGACUCAUCCGAGGCCCCGUAAUCGGAAUGAGAACACUCUAAAACCUUUAACAAAAAUCAAUUAGAGGGCCAGUCUGGUGCCAGCAGCCGCGGUAAUUCCAGCUCUAAUAGCGUAUAUUAAAGUUGUUGCGGUUAAAAAGCUCGUAGUCGAAUUUGUGUCUCGCGCCGCUGGUUCAUCGCUCGCGGUGUCAACUGGCGUGUGGCGGGACGUCCUGUCGGUGGGCUCUGCGGAUUGUCUGCUUUGCAGUCGUUCGUAGCCCUGUGCGUGUCCGUCUUGUGCGGGUGCGUUCCCCAUCGCGGUGCUCUUUAUUGAGUGUCGAGGUGGGCCGGCACGUUUACUUUGAACAAAUUAGAGUGCUUAAAGCAGGCCAAUUUUGCCUGAAUACUGUGUGCAUGGAAUAAUGGAAUAGGACCUCGGUUCUAUUUUGUUGGUUUUAGGAAUGCCGAGGUAAUGAUUAAUAGGAACGGAUGGGGGCAUUCGUAUUGCGACGUUAGAGGUGAAAUUCUUGGAUCGUCGCAAGACGGACAGAAGCGAAAGCAUUUGCCAAAAACGUUUUCAUUGAUCAAGAACGAAAGUUAGAGGUUCGAAGGCGAUCAGAUACCGCCCUAGUUCUAACCAUAAACGAUGCCAGCUAGCGAUCCGCCGACGUUCCUCCGAUGACUCGGCGGGCAGCUUCCGGGAAACCAAAGCUUUUGGGUUCCGGGGGAAGUAUGGUUGCAAAGCUGAAACUUAAAGGAAUUGACGGAAGGGCACCACCAGGAGUGGAGCCUGCGGCUUAAUUUGACUCAACACGGGGAAUCUCAC